AAAUUUAUUGUCUUCAUGGAAAAUUAUUCUAUUAUUAAUUUUGUGGUCGUAUAAAUUAAUAUAUUAGAAUUUUUUAAAGAAUUUUAAAAAACUUAUUAGGAAAAAAGAUUUGUACCUUCGUACUUGGUAAAAUUUUUAGGUAGUUUAAAAAACAUAAAAUAAAUGGCAGUGGAAUAUUCAAAUUAAGGAAUUUUGAAAUAUAAAUUGAUAAUCCUCAUUUUAAUUUACUUUAAAAAAUUUUUUGUGUUGCGGUUUAAUAAAAUUUUUAAAGAAUUAGUUUAGUUCAAGUUUAAUAUUAUAAAUCUUUAAAGGAAAUUUUGAAAUGUAGUUUAAAAUUAAGAGUAAUUUUAUAAAAUAUAAUACCUGAUAGUAAUAGAUAAAUUAAUAAAACAGCCAUAUUCUAGGUUCAUAUCGUCCGUCACUCUCAUUUU
This 431-nucleotide ribosomal RNA is filed under the name Oncaea waldemari. RNAcentral describes it as "partial 12S ribosomal RNA". Lineage: Eukaryota; Metazoa; Arthropoda; Copepoda; Poecilostomatoida; Oncaeidae. The record is from RNAcentral.